This 877-nucleotide long non-coding RNA is filed under the name Cicer arietinum (chickpea). Its description in RNAcentral is "long non-coding RNA (CARI_LNC001773)". The record is from RNAcentral. Lineage: Eukaryota; Viridiplantae; Streptophyta; Magnoliopsida; Fabales; Fabaceae.
UUUGAUUAACGACCGAAAAAAAAGCAAUAUUUAUCAAAAUGUCCAUCAAUUUGUAUAGUUGAAUUGACAUUAAUCAAAAUAUCAAUAACACCAUUUCUUUUCUUCCAAUAAAUCACAAAACCUCAAACAUAUUCUCCUACUUACCAUUAAUUUUCUUUUUCAUCUUAAUUCCUAAAUUUACAACUAAUUUUUCUUCUUCUCUCUAAUUUUUUCUUCAUUUUCUUCCCUUAUUUAUUUUGCACCGUCCCAUACAUCUUCUUCUCCCAAUUCAAGAAGCAUUUGACUACUUCAAGAAGGAAAUUGUGUGCAUAUUAAUGACACCAAUUUACUCAAACCAGUGAAAGAUGCAGGAAAAGUUGUGGAAGUAAGUUUUAGGAAGCAAUAUAUGAUGAUUUGGGAACUAUGCUCGUGAAUUGUCAAGGGGUAAUAUGGGAACAACACCAAUUUCCUUUGCGAAUUGGGGGAAUAAGAUACAUGGAGAAGAUAAAGAAUAAAAGGGAUGCAAAUGAAGAAGAAAUUAUGGAAGAAGAUGAAUAAUAAAACGGGGAAAUGAAGAAGAAGUUUUAGGUUUAGAGCUAGGGAGAAAGAUGAUGAAGAAAUAUGAGUAGUAAGAAGGAUAACAUGUUUUUUAUUUUGUGAUUUAAAGUGACAUAAUAAAACUCCCCUGUUUUUUCUUUGGAUAAUAAAAAUAUAUAUUCUCACAUACACUCAUGAUUGAAAACUCGAAAUGAAAAUUAUAAUAACAUUCUGAUUGAAAAUCAUUCUUAUGUGAACAUAAGAAUUUAGACAAAAAAAUAAAUGUUUCAUAAUUUUAAAAACUCUUAUUUAAUCAAUUACUUUUUCUAUUUUUUUGUUAUGUGUGUACGCUUAAAUAGUG